GUGUCUGACCUCUAUGAGUAUCCACUUAAGAUCAGUCUGGAAUAGCUCUCUAAAAUCUGAAUUUUGAAUCUCCAAAAUUCAGCCUACUGAAUCUGAAUAAAGCCUGGAUUAUGAUCAACACUUGAUCUUUCUCCUUGAUCUUCUUCUCCUCUUCUCUAGACUUUUUUCCUUGAUUAUGUGCUACUACCAGUAGGUAGAAGUAGCAAACAAAGGAUGCCCAAUAGCCUUUGGGCAUGAAAUUACUUGGGACACACGUCCCAAGUAAUAUGGCAUGGAGAUGCCUAAGGAGAAGAGAAAGAGGGAGGA
Molecule: long non-coding RNA, 306 nt
Filed under: Elaeis guineensis (African oil palm)
Lineage: Eukaryota; Viridiplantae; Streptophyta; Magnoliopsida; Arecales; Arecaceae
Description: long non-coding RNA (EGUI_LNC074915)
Source: RNAcentral